AAUAAUUGAACUAGAAGUUGAGAACAAACAAAAAGAGAAGAGAAAAAAAAGAUCAACUAAAUUGGAAUACAAGUUGAUUUCAUUAUUGUCUCUAAUCCCGAUCCAAAUAAAUUGACUAAAAAAGUUGAACACAACUUAUAUAACAGUUUGUUGAUCCAAAAAGAAAAAAGUAAAAUACCACGUGAUUCGGAGGUAUAUUAAGUUGAAUCCAAUCUCACUUGAUCAUAUAUGAAGUUAUGAACAGGCAAUAUUGUUAAACCGUAGAUGGCUGACUUGACUUGGUCCAAGUCGCCUUAACAACCAGUUGUUUUUCUAUGCCCUUAUCCUUAUGCGUUGCAUGGAAGGUACGUAACUGAUGCAUGGAAGAGUCAAAAAGUGAAAGAUUCCAUGUGGUCGGGAUAACGAACUGGCAUCGUCCACGUCUGCAUGCGAUAUAUUAAGGCAAACCCAACGAUUACUCUUAUCACUUCCUGCAUCCAGCUUGCAGUCGUCAAAUUUGUAUGGCCUGAAUUGAAGCACUUAUCCCAUUUCCCUCGCUAGUUGCCACUGAUGAGACCAUGACUUCGACCUAGUUUGACCGCUAGCUCAACUUGUGCAAAAAGGUUUCUUGUCUCACCGUGACGUCGGUCAUUGGUCUAUAGUAACGUCGAUCUUCAGUCGAUCUGUCACUGCCGCCACCUGUAACCGGAAGACUUUGCCUGAAAAUUUUCCGUGAUCGUCGAAAUAACUGUGAAGUUAUUUCGACAACUUAAGUGUCGUUUUUGUCCAAAGGUCCCUCUCAUUAUGCUUCUACUCAAACUUGCCAACACGGUUUAGACUAACAUGAUUGGUUUUGGCUGCUAAUGAUUCUAAGGUUAAUUAAAACUAACUGUUCAAAGAUUGAUUCAAAGAGAGAAAACAAGUUCUUGGAAGAGAUGAGUCAUCAACCUCAACUUCCUAAACGCAUUCGAAAUGAACAAAUGUUGGACUUGGAUUGAAUAAAAUGAAUCCUCCUAUCACUCGUAUGAAUCUGUGGCACGAUCAUGCACGCGGAUUACCAUUACUAACUUCCCAAUUAAGGUAGAAAUAACCUUAACGGUAUGAACACCGAGAAGUUCUACAAAGUGAUAAGAUGUUCUUCCGGAAUUAAAAGAAAUCACGAGUAAUCAGAAAUAGCGUUAACUUGGUCCAUCAACGCCUAAACUACUGAUAACUACACCCAACUUGGUCCAUUGGGUGCAAACCAGAGCGCCCGCCAAUUGCAAGAUGAAUAACUUUUAAAACUACAAGAAACACAAAAGGUAGAAUUGGGUUACCGGCUUACCCCACCGAUAACUUUCAUCUAUCUUUGACUGUUAAUCUUAUGAAUUCCUAAGUCUAUCAAACAAAGGAUUUCAUAAAUUUGACCAACAGUCGGAGCAAACUUUCAUUAAAAUCCAAUUAUCCACAAUUAUCGUUUCUAAAUGUUCAAGAUAGGUAUCAUGCCUCAAAUCCUACAUCUCAACCAAGAAACUCUACAGACUUAGCUACUCAUAACUCUACAAGAGGACAAAUCAAAAGAAACCCUAACCAUCAUCUUGUUGAAGAGAUAACGGCUUGUUCUUCCUCCAAUCGUUGCUUUUAGUCUUCUAGCUUCAAUCCUAACUUCAAUCUUUAAUAGCAACUCCUUUGGAUCUUCAAUUGAGCUUCUAGGGAAGGUUUUGUGCUGGUUUUGCAGAGAAGAGUCGGGAAAAAUCGAGAGAAAAUGAGUUUUGGGGAAUUAUGUCCUCUUUCCUCAAAAUCU
This 1762-nucleotide long non-coding RNA is filed under the name Linum usitatissimum (flax). RNAcentral's name for it is "long non-coding RNA (LUSI_LNC004955)". Lineage: Eukaryota; Viridiplantae; Streptophyta; Magnoliopsida; Malpighiales; Linaceae. The record is from RNAcentral.